This 458-nucleotide ribosomal RNA is filed under the name uncultured bacterium. RNAcentral describes it as "partial 16S ribosomal RNA". It matches the Rfam family "Bacterial small subunit ribosomal RNA", at positions 338 to 795 of the family's 1533-position model. The record is from RNAcentral.
CCUACGGGCGGCAGCAGUGGGGAAUAUUGCACAAUGGGGGAAACCCUGAUGCAGCGACGCCGCGUGAGUGAAGAAGCGUUUCGGCGCGUAAAGCUCUGUCAGCGGGGAAGAAACACGGUUCGCUAGAGCCGCGGACGGUACCCGACCAAGAAGCCACGGCUAACUCCGUGCCAGCAGCCGCGGUAAUACGUAGGGGGCAAGCGUUAUCCGGAUUCAAUGGGGGUAAAGGGAGCGUAGACGGCGAGACAAGGCUGGGGGGAAAGGCCGGGGCCCAACCCCGGGACUGCCCUGGAAAGUGCCUGGCUGGAGUGCAGGAGAGGUAAGUGGAAUUCGUGGUGUAGCGGUGAAAUGCGUAGAUAUUAGGAGGAACACCAGUGGCGAAGGCGGCUUACUGGACUGUAACUGACGUUGAGGCUCGAAAGCGUGGGGAUCAAACAGGAUUAGAUACCCCUGUAGUC